Molecule: long non-coding RNA, 1002 nt
Organism: Syzygium oleosum
Lineage: Eukaryota; Viridiplantae; Streptophyta; Magnoliopsida; Myrtales; Myrtaceae
Exons: 3
Source: RefSeq, a predicted model, not a curated record
CCCCAAAAUAACUACCCCAACAUCACUCGCUCGGCUCAUUCAAGCAAUUGCUCUGUUUUUCCCCACUUCUUGUGGCUAGCUGGUGUUCGCUUCGCUACAUCACCUCUAGCUGUUGAGGCCUUCGUCACUCCGGCGCGACUGUAGGCAGCUCUUGCUUCUCGUUCGAUUUUUUUCGUCUCCUGUGACCCGCCAGCUCUCUCUCGGCUCUUAGUUCACUCUCCCGUCCGCCCGUAUAAACGUGGAGGUCACAUGCGUGGUACGGUAUCACAAAGAAGACCAGCCCAUUCCCCUUCCUCGUCCUCGUCCCCGGCCCUUUCCUCUUCCCCUGCCCUUUCAUCUAACCCUCAACCACUACAUGUUGAUGGACAACAUGGACACAUUGGCCCAUCCUCCAAACCUCAAGAACAUAUUAGGGGACAACUUGGAGAUAUGCGAACUGAAUUUACUUCAGUUCCAUCUCUUUUAGUUCCAUCUCCUUCGAUUGCAUCUCCUUCGGUUCCACCUUCUUCUUCAGUGCAACACUCGAAUGAUGAAGAAGAUAGCCGAUUCAUGAUAUGGCCAUGUGGAGAUUCAUUCACGGAUGCUACCUAUGUUGUGAGGGAACUUAAUAAAAUAGUCAAUAACUGUUGGAUGGGGCAGUAUAUUAGUUUCAGCAGCGCUCCAAAAUAAGUAAAGAAUUUGUGGUGGAAUGAGUUCAAGGUAAGUUUUGUCAUUCUAUUUUCUCACAAACUGAGUUCGGUGUAGCAUACUGAUGGUCAAGAAUGAAUUUUGUCACGAAUUAUUUGGUGCAUGGUAAUGGAUAUGUGACCUGUGACCCUCAUAAUAACUUUCGGUUGUUUUUCUAUUGAUUGUAGUGGAAGUUCAGGUGGGAUGAAAUGGAAGAGAAUGAAGUUAGAAGAAUUUUUAAGAAGAAAGCCGGUGAUCACAUGCAAAAUGUGAUGAAUAAAGCAAAGAGAAAUCAACGAAAGCCGGAUUUUAUUACAGCUGACAAUUGGACGGAAA